CCAAGGCUUCUGUUGGGUUUAGCAAGUUGUGAGCAAAAGCUGUUGUCACACCUCUGAAGAAAGUGAUGCCAUGGUCAUCUUUCCACAGCGAGGGUUGGACAUACUUUAACUGAGUGAUCGUACUCCAGGAUGCUCUCUUGAUUGAGCUGCGUGGGGGAGAUCUUAUCUCUACACGCCACCAGCAGCCAGGAGAUACCCAGAGAAAGCUCCAUUUUGGGUACAGAAUGAGUUUAGGGACUCUCUAUGGAGAGUCUCUGUAAGAUGGUGUCUGGGCCCUGAGCAGCCUCAUCUGGAGACUCCUACUUGCCUCAGUUUUGGACAAUGGAAAGACGGAAAGAAAGUUUACUUUUCUGUGGCUUUCUCCCUUUUUUGACCUAUGAAUCAUAGAAAGCAGAUGUAAUUUUUAUUUACAUAUGUCGUAUGUUGCCUUUGAGACUUUGGAAAGAAGAUAGAAUUUGAGAGUCACCUCAAGGGGACUCUUCAUUCCCUCGUGUCAACUUGUCACUGAGUCAGGUCAAGGGCACAGCCCAGGGAGAGGCGGCCCUGGUCAGGUCAGCACCCAGAUGGGUUGGUGCAGCUUAAGGGCCCAGGGAGCUCUGUGCAGCUUCAUCCCCAGCUGCACAGAGCAGGAUGCACUCUGGGGGCGGCACAUGAGGCACUGCGGGUCCAGCUCUGGUGCAAACAGAGAGUGAAGGGCUGCAUCUGCCUGUUAAACGCUGCAUACAGUACAGAUCUUCGUGCUGUUGGAAGAGAACUAUGGUUCACUUAAAACUGAACAACAAACCCACUACAAACUUGUAAACUGGAAUCCUAAUCUUCAGAGCAUUCUCAUUCUUUAUCGCUCUGUUCGUUAUAGAAGAAAGCUCCCCCUUGGAUCCCUC
Molecule: long non-coding RNA, 881 nt
Filed under: Phasianus colchicus (ring-necked pheasant)
Lineage: Eukaryota; Metazoa; Chordata; Aves; Galliformes; Phasianidae
Description: lncRNA (ENSPCLG00000003143.1)
Source: RNAcentral